This 6673-nucleotide long non-coding RNA is filed under the name Salvia miltiorrhiza (redroot sage). Its description in RNAcentral is "long non-coding RNA (SMIL_LNC011510)". Lineage: Eukaryota; Viridiplantae; Streptophyta; Magnoliopsida; Lamiales; Lamiaceae. The record is from RNAcentral.
AAAAAAUUGAGACUCAAAACUUUCCACCUGAAAUUUUGUAUUGCAACCUGUGAUUAUUCAUGCACAUGCAAUCCUAUUGCGGCCAUUUCGUAUGAUGAAAAUCAGAUGGCGCAGAAGAAAUUUGAGAUGAUUUGAUUGCUGCACGGUACGAUCUUGUUCAGUCCUUUCUCUCCGAACUUAGGAUUUACUAUUAGUUAUUUAUUUUGGUUGAUUUCGUCGGUUCCUUUCAUAGAUUCUUGCUUCUGUUUUCUUAUUGUUGAUUGUGUUUAAAUGUGGGUUGAUUUUGUACUUGGAAAAGAUGAUAUUAGGGGAAUGUGUUAGCUCUUUCGCUGGAUAUGCAUAUUGGGGGUGGAUCUGAGGUUUCUGAUUAUGAACUUCUUUGAGAUUUUCGUUUGUCAUAAUUGAGGGCCUGCAUAUAUUAUGUUACUAUAUAUAGGUGGCGUAGUCGAAAAUUGAAUUGCCUUUAAAAUCAUUGCACGUUUUUUAAUUGGUGGAACACAAGUGUAUUAUUAUAGAUUUAUAUUCAGACAAGUUCAUUUGCUAAUGAGUGACUAGAGAUUGUUUCUUUCUGCAUAAUGUUGGAGGUCGGUAGAAUUGAUAUUUGCAAUAAGUUUAUGCACUCUAGGUUUUAGAAGUUGUGAACCAACUUGAAGCAAACCAGAUCAUGCCAAUUUUGUUUGAAGUUGUGAUCAUUGUAAUUAAACAACAUGCCUAACAGAGAGUUUCUCAGCACUUGAUGUGUGGUAAAGGAUCCGGCAUUAAUUGUUACAUCUUUGGCAUAACAUUUACACAUACAAAAAGAGGAAUGAAAUUUAAUUUUGAAAAUCAUGCGGCUUUAAGCCUGAAAUUGUCAAUUUAUCAAAUACCUCGUAUCGCAUCUAGGAUAACAUGUAUGAGUUAGGUAGUUUGGAUUCAUUAGUAAUUGUACUGUUUUUUAUUUGCUUGGUGUAUGUGUGCCCUAAGUUUAAUUAAAUUGAUUAGCUUUCUAUUUUUGGUUAAUAAUGGAUUAAAAAGAUAAACGCAUAAUUUUAUGAAUGUUGGGUUCAUCAAAGUUCAACCUGCUAUUGAUUUCCUUCAGAAGCAAUGCAGAGUUGGUAGUAAUGCUUUUUCGAGAGAGCGGCUGCUGAGACUUUGCUGCACGAGAACUCUGAGCACGUAGGGCUAAUUAACUAGGCUAUGAUUGGGGAAUAAAUGUGGAGGUUAUGUUACUGCCUAUUUGAUGAGGAAUUCCUUAUGUUACUGGUCGUCUACUCAAUGAGGAAUUGCCUAGUACUUGUAUGCUCCCUUUAAUUUAAUAGCUAAAUUUGAUAUGAACUUGUGGUAAACAACUUUGCAUUAGUUGAAAAGGAAAAACUGGUGUGUAACUGAUAUAAAAGAGUGCACAUUAGUAAAGCUGUGCUACUUGGUGUUUUAUGAAACCAACACCUAAAACUAUAAAGUGAAAUCAUAAACUAUACCUAGUGCGAUUGACUGAAGAAGACGAAGUGAAUGGUCGGAAACUUUGCACUAGAGGAAAAUAGCUGUUAUAUUCAAAAGUAUCAGAUAGCGUGCCGGUAAUACAUGAGCUGAGGUCUAUUUAUAGAUUACAAUUGAGGGUAAAAAGGUAAAAUCAUUAUCCACGCAUGCUCCUUGCAUGGUCGGAGGGUAUAACAGUAACUUCGUCUUUACGCGGGAGAUCUUCCCGCGCCUUCUAGCAUUUCUCUGGCAGGGAUGAUUCCUCUGGUGACGAUGACUCCUCUGGCGAAGAUGACUUCUCUGACGAAGAUGACUCCUCUGGCGAAGGAUGACUCCUCUGGCGAUAGUGACUUCUCUGAGGAAGAUGACUUCUCUGAUGAUGGUGACUUCUCUGAUGGAAUUGACUUCUCUGGUAAGUGUAUCUCUUCUGCCAGGGGGAUGAAAUCCCUAUGGUGAGAAUGAUUCUUCUGACCAGUAUAACUCCUCUGAUGAGGAUGAUUCCUCUGAUUUGUAUCCUUUCCCUACUCUGCACAUAUCACUCCUCAUCAACCACUCCCCCCUCUAGUCUGGUUGAACCGGGUAGUCUUCGCGUUCAACCAGUAGAGUACUGUGAAAGCAGCUGCUAUGAUGUUUCCCUGAUCCCUGCAAAUCAUGAAGAUAUAAACACUCUAAUAUUACACGAAAAUAAGUAAGUCCUGUAAGUUGCUCUCUGGUGUUUUGUCACUCCCCCCCGGUCUGGCUAGUUCACUUCUGGAAUAGUGCAACUAGUCAGAGGAUUCGCCCGCAUGGAUGACGUCACCUGCAUUAAAUGCCUGCCCGAUCUACAGUGCUUUUUCCCGUACCCCGAGGUUACUUUUUAACCUUUGCGUCUUUUCGCCUUUCCGUAGGGAUUUNUGGCCGUUGAUUUAUUUCCGUAUGCCACGUGUCGGGCAUCCCGCAUAUUGGUAGUUGCCCGCGUACAUUUUACUUAGUCGAUUCGAACUCCCAUUUUUCACUAUUCUUCUUCUCCAGUUUCCAAACUCCUUACCUGCAAAUUCCGGCAAUUCUCUCCCUGUUCCGGCGUAUCUCCUGCGACACCUCCGCUUCAGGUUUUAUCAUCAAUCUUUCUCUGCCCUAGGUAAUUCGCGCAUCUUCUUCUCCCCCAGUAUUUGUGAUAGGUAAGUAGUUUUGAAUUUGUUGGUGCUCUGAUUGAACGUGCUUAGAACCCUAGGUGCUAGGAUUGGUACAAUGGCCUCCACUUCCGCUCCUCAGCCCUCGCGGUCGCCUUCCCCAUCUUCCCGAGCCUCUUCAUCUUCUUCACCCCAACUCCAGGAUCUCGAGAAUUUCCUUUCCCCCUCUGCUUCUUAUGACUCUCAAAUUGUCCCUGAUCCCUCACCACCUAAGAAGAGGGGUAAGAAGACACCUCAACCUCCCAAGCGUGUUCCUGCCUCCCGUCUUGGCGUCGCGGAAGUGGAAAAAUUGAAGAGCAAGUGUCGACACCCUGAAAGUUUACAAUUCGUAGCCUUUUCUAAAGACUCAACGCCCCCCGAGAGCCUUCGUCACCACAAAGUGAUAGUCAUCUGGCAAGCCCAGAUAAAUGCUGGUCUAAGGCUUCCUCCCCCUGCCCUUUUAGUCAGUGUUUGUAACCACUAUCGCAUCCCCUUUUACCAAGUUACUCCUUCCGCCAUCCGGCGGUUAUACGCUUUCCAUAUUCUUUGCCGCGCCCACGGUGUUGGAGACACCGGUAAAUUAUUUUGUCAAACCCAGACUCUCCGCAUGCAGGGCAGUCCCCUGUAUAGCUUCGCCGCUCAUCCGAAACAUCCCACCACUUUCCUUUCAUCCUUGAAUUCCUUUGAUAAGGGCUUUCUAUACAAUUACUGCUAUGUGCGCACCCUUGUCGGCAAUUGGCAUGAUUACCAUGUUUUGGAACUAGAAUGGCAUGGCUCCCGGACUACCUAUAGGCCUGCCUCCCUAGAAGCUCCCUCCAAUUUUGACUUAGGGGUUAUAGCCCAUUUGAACGCUAUGAACGAAGCCCAGCCUUUAGACUGUAGAUACCUUGCUGAGAACAAUUCGGCUCUGGCAUACAAUGGCCUAUUUCCCCUAUAUCCAAAGAAAUCGAUAGGUAAAAGAUAUAAUUUAGAAAAAUAUAUUAACUUUUGUUACCCGGAUGCUAAAUGAUGUAGUGUUUUAAAUUGCAGACAUGUCUUGGAGAAAGAAAUGUGGGGACAAUUUGCCUGUCGUUGCUUCUCCCACUCGCAGCGGGGAGCAUGGUACCGGGGGUUCUGCUUCUGGGACAGGCUCCUUAGAACAGCCAAUUGGGGUCGAGCUGGUCGCCCUCCCUCCGGUGGUAGAAAUCCCAGAGGGGAAUGUGGAAGCCUCUCGUGCAUUUGAUGCAGGAGAGGUUGAUGCGGGCGCUCUUGUUCACAAGGGUAAACGUCCCNAAAAUAUAAUACUUUAUAUUAAACGAAGAUAAAUAUUUAUAUUAACAUAAGUAUAUAUUUGUGCCAAUAAAUGUAUAUUUUGUAUUUAUUUAGGGUUUAGUAUUCAAGGUUUAGGGUUUAGUAUUCACUAUUUAGGGUUUAGUAUUCAAGUGUUUAGGUAAUUACAAGUUCUAGAAUGACAGGAAAUACUUAUAGAAACAUAAUUAAGUAUGCAUUUGUACAAAGAAAUGUAUAUACUAGCCUAAAUAAAAGUAAAUAUUUCCAUUAGGGUUUAGCAUUCAAGGGUUAGGGUUUAGUAUUCAUUAUUUAGGGUUUAGUAUUCAGUGUUCAGGUAAUUACAAAAUAUAGAAUGACAGGAAAUACUUAUAGAAACAUAAGUAUACAUUUGUACAAACAAAUGUAUAUGUUAGACUACAUAAAAGUAAAUAUUUCCAUUAGGGUUUAAUAUUCAUUAUUUAGGGUUUAGUAUUCAAGGUUUAAGGUUUAGUAUUCACUAUUUAGGGUUUAGUAUUCAGUGUUCAGGUAAUUACAAAAUAUAGAAUGACAGGAAAUACUUAUAUUAACAUAAGUAUAUAUUUGUGCUAAGUGCUAACAAAUGUAUAUUUUAUACUUAUUAAAAGUAACUAUUGUCUUACUAAAAAGUAAUUAUUCAUAUGAAGAAAUGUAAUAUUUCAAAAUUAUUACUUUUUUCAAAAAAAUGUUAUUUUUACUUACGAAAACUUGUAAUUUUAAUGACUUGGUCAAGUAAUUAUAGUUGUAAGAAAAAAUAACCAUUGAUAUGAAUAAAGGUAAUUUUUUAUAAAAAAUGAAAUAAAUGAAAAAAAAGUAUAUAUAAAAUGUUAAAAAGAAAAAAUUAAACGAAAAAGCAAAAGAAAAUAAAUAAAACACUUUACUAAAGUAAUUAUUAUUGUAAUAAAAAUUAACCAUUGAUAUGACAAAAAAAAUAUACAGUAUAAAUGUAAUAACAGAAAAAAAAAAGCAAUAAGAAACACAAAAAAUGCUAAUGCAAAAAGAAUCAUUUAUAAUAGAAAAAAAAAAGGAAAAAAAGAAAAAAAAAAACGACUAAUGCAAAAAGGAAAAUAGAAAAAAAUGGGAAAAAAAAUGUUGCUGAGAAGAUUCGAACCUUGGUAGAUAAGACAGGGAAAACUUUCCCCCACCACUACACCACAUCUAACUUUGUAAUUAAGAAGGAAACAGUUUUGAUAUACUAUUCGAGCCCAGAUCCGCCCAUCCCACACCAUAACCCGCCAGACCCGCGCCCAAACUCACCCGACCCGACCCGACCCGCGCCCCGACCCGUCUCAUGGGGUGAGGUUGACCUCACCCAAGACCAACUCUUUUAUGAAUGUUGGGUUCAUCAAAGUUCAACCUGCAAUUGAUUUCCUUCAGAAGCAAUGCAGAGUUGGUAGUAAUGCUUUUUCGAGAGAGCGGCUGCUGAGACUUUGCUGCACGAGAGCUCUGAGAGCACGUAGGGAUAAUUAACUAGGCUAUGAUUGGGGAAUAAAUGUGGAGGUUAUGUUAUUGCCUAUUUGAUGAGGAAUUCCUUAUGUUACUGGUCGUCUACUCAAUGAGGAAUUGCCUAGUACUUGUAUGCUCCCUUUAAUUUAAUAGCUAAAUCUGAUAUGAACUUGUGGUAAACAACUUUGCAUUAGUUGAAAAGGAAAAACUGGUGUGUAACUGAUAUAAAAGAGUGCACAUUAGUAAAGCUGUGUUACUAGAUCUAUCAGAAGCUUUUUUCUUUGUACUUCAUAUAUAAAAAGCACACAAGUGAAUCGUGGCCUCUGAUGCUCAGAAUUUCAGAAAUGACGAAUGUAUCAUUAGGUUAAUACAUAGGCAUUGGUAUGGGAUCCUACCUCCAUAAAGUGUAUGGUUUUGUUUAGAUGAGCUGAAAAUUGUAAAGAGAAAUAGGUUAAGGAACUAGCCAGAGGAAUUGUUGGUUUGGCUGAAAGGGAUCACCAAGAACGAAGAAGCCAUGUUCUUAUGAUAUUUUUUUAUCCCUUUUUAUUUACAUGUAUUUCUUGCUUAAAUCAUAUAGAAUGAAUGACAUAUCUCCCCUCAUUAGCAUCCUAAUUCUGGAUCAUCUUUUGUUGUAUCCAUGUAACCUAAAAUUUAACUAGCAAGAAGUCGAACUCUAGAUACCUACUUGUAUGCAUGUGUCGUAGUCUAUCAUGGAUGGUAACUGAAAGGACUGUGUAGAGGUGUGAAUUCAUAAAUACAUCUUUGCAUGGAAGACUAUAAUGAAAUAACAAGACUUUGAGGAUAGCUUAGCAUAUUCUGCAUGAAGCUGUUAAAGUUUGUUGUGUGCGUUUAGAGUCAGUUUUCUUUCUCUUGGCAGCUGAUCUUGGAAGUCUGUUUAAUUAGAGGGAUGAGUUAGAGCAACUUAAAAUCUCAAGUUAGAGAGAGCUUCUUCUUGCCCAAUCUUGUAACCUUUUUUCAUCGUCAUUGAUUGUGAAGAUUCUCAGCCGACUUCCCGUGGAUGUAGGUUCAUUUGAGGCGAACCACGUAAACCUUCGUCUCGUUUAAAUUUCUUCAUUAGAGUUAUAAUUAUGGUUCGUUGUUAUCUUGAUUUGGAUUUUUGACAAACAUGAUUUUCAUACCUCAAUUCCACAUGAUUUGUUGUCAUUUCCCUUCAUAUUUUUCUUGCCAAUGCGUGUUUGUACCCUAAUGUUGAGUUUUAUGAAGAUUUGAUUCCUUGGUGUAGUUUUGGAGUGAUUUCAGGAAAAAUCAAGGAUUAAUUGAAGGACUUUGAAGACAUGAGAUUGAAGUACGUCUCGAGAGGAAUCCAUGAGCGCAAACGA